Molecule: long non-coding RNA, 1010 nt
Organism: Oreochromis niloticus (Nile tilapia)
Lineage: Eukaryota; Metazoa; Chordata; Actinopteri; Cichliformes; Cichlidae
Exons: 5
Source: RefSeq, a predicted model, not a curated record
CCUCAACACAGAUCUGUUUGUCUGUAUUUGAGCCGGAAAUACACAGUUUCUGCCGUCUUGGCAGAAUAUUUGUGACUUACAAUGCUCUGAGGAACACCUGGCAUUGUGCUUGUGCAAAGCCACGAAUAUCUCAUAAAAACAUAGCUAAAUGGCAUUCCUUCCAGACACAGAGAGACAUCUUCAAAUCAAUCAAUAUCAUCAGGCACCCCAUCACAGAUGACUCAGGAGAGUUCUUCCUUUGAGGACAAUGCUGCCGUCGAAAGGAGUAUACGCUAUAUUUUUAAAGAGAAAAAAAUUCCUGGAUUUCUUCCAGAAAAUGUCAUCUCACAGAAAAUGGAUCAUCAGAAACAGCUCUUUCCAUGUGAAACGUUGUGCCAGGUGUGCCCAGAGCACCCAAAACUUGAUGAGGCUGUUGUAAUUACCAAUAAAGCGAGGAUUGUCAGCAUGAUAGGAGUGAUUGAGAAUGUUUCAACACACCAUAGAUCGUGUCCUCAGUGCCACAUGGUCUACAGAUACCAGGAGUGGACAGAUGGGCUUCACAACUUUGACAACCACGUUGUUUUGUCUCUUGAACUCUGCCUUUUUUGAGAGAAAAUCUGCAGAACCAUGUAUCCGCUUCAAGGGUCAUUGACUCAUUGGAGGGCUUAAGAAGAGUGAAGUUUCCUUCUAGGGAUACCAUUUUUCAUGCUUAUUGCCAUUUUGAGGCUUUGACUGACGCAGAAUACAUGUACUCCUGCAUAAACUGUGGGUUUCACCUCCCUGUGGUAGUUAUGGACUUACACAGAAAAGGGGUGUUCAAGUUAGCAGUGAGUGACCUCAAAGCCCCGGAAGACUUCAAUGGUGAACAUGACAUUGAAGGUUUUUGGCACUCUAUUCACCUGGAAAUGAUAAGCCGUGGGUUUUUUCCAAGCGGCGUGAAGAAUCCAUUUUCAGUUCCACCAAGUUACACGCACUGGGCACCAUGGAUCGGGAGUGAAACUCGAACAAGUGACAUUGUGCUUAACACAGAG